AAAAAUAACACUCAUAAAUUGAUUGUGCAUGAAAAUACAGAAAAUUUUUCUAAUGCUAUAGUAAAAACAAAAAUUUCAGAACACAAGAAGCUAACAAUUAAGAUUACCUCCUCUGUGAGAUGGAAGAUAAAGGGCAUUCCUCAGCUGCUUUAAAGACAUAGUCGAUGUAUUAUUUGAAAACCUGCAGCAACAAGAUCAAGAAUACGUGCAUUGCCCAACUUUUGCCCGUUUAAUCCUAACUAACCAGCAGCAAAAGCUAUUCUAAAUCAGAUAGUAUAAGAACUCAAAGAUGGUCAGUCUCCUCUUUGAUGCAUAAACUACAGGUGACAGGACAACCUGCUUUAAAGACCAUAUACAAAACUCUAUAUUAAUGAGUUGAAGUAGGUGCACCAGUACUUUCCAAUCCCAUCUUCUGCCCCAAAAGUGUUAGCUGCUCAACAAACUCCACUCCAGUGAGAAUUUCUGUUGUUCCAUAUAUAAUAUGCUUGACAGGCUGCUGGCGCUGUGCAAGCUCUAGCAAGCUGCCGUACUCCACGUAAUUACCACCACCAAUCAUGAAAACCAU
Molecule: unclassified non-coding RNA, 565 nt
Filed under: Hevea brasiliensis (rubber tree)
Lineage: Eukaryota; Viridiplantae; Streptophyta; Magnoliopsida; Malpighiales; Euphorbiaceae
Source: RNAcentral